CUCCUCCUCUCUCUCUCCUCCAUUUCUUCUCUCUUUCUCUCUCUAGAUCUCACGGCCAUGAAGCACUUCAUGCAGCAAAGAAACGCAAUCUUGAGGGAGACGACGAUAGAGUCUCCGGCCUCGUCCAACCCUAGCGCGGUCAAGCCCCAGCCGUCGCGGAAGCAGAGGGGCUCCAAGGAGAACGCGCCAAGCCCCGGCCGUCGCGGAAGCAGAAGGGCUCCAAGGAGAACGCUCCGCCGUCGGAUCCGAACUCGUUGCCCCCGAUUCCGGAGCACUCGCCGGCGAUUUCCACCCUCUUGACCUCCACUUUCUCCCAAUCCCUCGUCGGACAUUAAUGUCGCCGGAUAAUGACCGGAGUUUUCACCAGCAAUCGCCGGAUUCUGCUCUCUCACGUUCUCAUCGGACCAGAUUGAAACAUUGUUGAAGGAAUGAUAGAAGUUUUCCCAAACAAUCGCCGACAUUUCUCUCUUUCUUCCUCAUUAGACCAGAUCCACCAUUGAAGGUUUGAUAGAGUUUUUCCAAAGAAAUCGCUGCUAAAUUCUCUCUCUUCCUCAUCUGACUAAAGAGUUGCAACUUACUUCUGGAUUUUUGAGAAGAUGGCACAUGGCACAACUGAUGAAUAAGGUUAGGCUCUCAUUGCCAAAAGCUUGAUGAAAGCUUUAUAUUAGCUCUCAGAUUGCAAACUGAAUAGUCAAAGGAAAUCUCAAGGAAGCACGUACAAUGUCCAAAAAUCGUAAUUGAUGAUGUAAAGCCAACAACCGCGGAUGAUGACAACGA
Morus notabilis is the source of this 777-nucleotide long non-coding RNA. RefSeq lists it as uncharacterized. NCBI's taxonomy places the organism in Eukaryota, Viridiplantae, Streptophyta, Magnoliopsida, Rosales, Moraceae. The record is from RefSeq and is a predicted model, not a curated record. The transcript has 4 exons.